Molecule: ribosomal RNA, 450 nt
Filed under: uncultured Glomeromycotina
Lineage: Eukaryota; Fungi; Glomeromycota
Description: SSU rRNA
Rfam family: Eukaryotic small subunit ribosomal RNA
Source: RNAcentral
AGCAGCCGCGGUAAUUCCAGCUCCAAUAGCGUAUAUUAAAGUUGUUGCAGUUAAAAAGCUCGUAGUCGAAUUUCGGGAUCAGUACGCCGGUCGUGCCUCUGGUAUGUACUGGUGUUACUGGUUCCUACCUUCUGACGAACUGUCAUGUCAUUAAUUUGGUGUGGCGGGGAAUCAGGACUGUUACUUUGAAAAAUUAGAGUGUUUAAAGCAGGCUCGCGCUUGAAUACAUUAGCAUGGAAUAAUGAAAUAGGACGUUCGAUCCUAUUUUGUUGGUUUCUAGGAUUGACGUAAUGAUUAAUAGGGAUAGUUGGGGGCAUUAGUAUUCAAUUGUCAGAGGUGAAAUUCUUGGAUUUAUUGAAGACUAACUACUGCGAAAGCAUUUGCCAAGGAUGUUUUCAUUAAUCAAGAACGAAAGUUAGGGGAUCGAAGACGAUCAGAUACCGUCGUAGU